RNAcentral lists this long non-coding RNA (220 nucleotides) under Capsicum annuum. RNAcentral describes it as "long non-coding RNA (CANN_LNC006570)". Lineage: Eukaryota; Viridiplantae; Streptophyta; Magnoliopsida; Solanales; Solanaceae. The record is from RNAcentral.
AUUGACUGAUUUUUGAGUUUUCCAGCAAUGAGAUUGGAUGGGAAUUGGAAUUGUUCCUAUCGAUCGGCAAAGAUGAUUCAUUUUUCAGUGGUGAUUCAGUGGGGGUUUGGUCGACGGGGAUCUCACUAGUUGUUCUUGGAUCGCCGGUGCUCCGGUGGUAGAUGAAUCAGUUGGUUUAUGGCGUGUCUUGUCGAAACUGGCGAUGUUUAUGGCAUCUUCC